Molecule: long non-coding RNA, 1997 nt
Organism: Olea europaea var. sylvestris
Lineage: Eukaryota; Viridiplantae; Streptophyta; Magnoliopsida; Lamiales; Oleaceae
Exons: 3
Source: RefSeq, a predicted model, not a curated record
GUCCUCGAUGCGUAAAGUACAAACCACCCUUAUCAAUUUGCUAAUCUGAAUAUUUGGAUUGAUUGAACUCGUGUUAUUAGUUAUUAGAACCAGAUAUCUAAAUAAUGGGGUCUCCAAAUCUAGGGAUUGACAUCUGUGAAUUUGAAACCUUUCCCAAAUUGAAGUAAUUCAACUCGGGAAUAAGUGAAACUUCAACACACAUAGAUCUUAUGCAAUAUCGGAAAAAUUGCCAAAGCAUGUCAAUUGUCAAUUUUAUAUGUAGGAGUUCUGAUUGUUCCUUUUCCGGUUGUGUAUUUAUCUUUUGGAGGGUGGGGGAUAGGGAAGGGACUCUGUGACCUCUAAUUGCUUCGAUGAAUCUUAGGGUUAAGUUUUCUUGUUUUAGUUCUAUUAGCAUAGUUAGUUUUCUCCAGAGCAGUAUUUAACUCUCACACUAUCCAGUUCCCAUGUUUUAAGCUCAAUUUUUGCAACAUAGAAAAAGGGAUUCACGUAGUAAAUCCCUUCGUAUUUCAAUUUUUUUUUUCAGGGGAUGAGUGGAGCAGGAAGGUAACAAUCCUCGGAACUGUUGGCCUCAGAGGUGGAAACAACAAUUCCUAAUAACUUAGAGUUAUGCUCAGUUUUCGGCAGUUUGCAGCAAUGUAUAUGCUUUUUACCAAUCAGCAACCUCGAAUUUAGUUGUUACCUUGUUGUUUUGUGGUCUAGGUCCCAUUGUGCAAAGAUACAGCCAACUGAAGCAGCCCUUUCUUUACCCUCACCGGGGUGCCACAACUAUCAGUAAGAUGAAAAGGACAUUAUUGUUCGUACACUUGUCUUUUUCUGUUAUUUCAGAAGGAGAGUGAGUGGUGGACACUGCAAUAUACGAAGUAGAAAAUGACAAGGAUUUUGGAUGUCAUUUCUUGUUUCUACUCAUGGACUUCCACUCACCAUCGUGUUCAUGCCUUGUGGGCCAUGUUCUCUAAUGAUUUGCUUCAGUUGGAGAAAUUCUGCCCAUCUGUGUUAGAUAAUUUAAUCAUUUGAAACCAUGAUUUUAGGAUUGUAUUCUUUGCUGACAGACCUUGCCAUAAAUUUUUUUUGCAUGUUUUCCACUUUUCCUUAAUCCUUAUUUUUAUCCCGUUAACUUGUUUCCCUUUAACAUUUAUGGAUCAUAGGGAUUAGGAUGACAAAAUCUGCCUGGAGAUGUUCGUAUUAUGUUGCCAGGAGACCCAAUUUCCAAGUCAUUGAUUGGAAUAUUCGAGCUUCCUAUCCUCUUAAAGAAAGACAAUGCCAAGGCUAUGGAAAAACCAAAGAAAUUAAAAAAAAGGGGAAUAGGACAAUAGUUAUGAAAAAAUUUAUUAAUGUUAAAUAUGAAGUGAUUACUUUGUUCAGAACACUAGAACACUAUCAUGUGCUCGCUAUUUUAUUUUUUUUCAAUUUUCUAAAGAAUGAUCCUUUUCUUGCGGUCAAUGCCUUUGCAGGAGUCACUAAGUUGAAGCUGUUUUGUGGAUUCUAAUGCCCCACGUGGAUCCUGUAUCCUGUUUGCAUAAUGCUAUUGUGCUUUGAGGUGGCUUGCUGGAAGGUCAUUUGAAUCUACGGAAAGUAGCGCCGAAAGCUCCAACCUUACACAGAUGAGAACUUGGGUCCCAAACUAAUUUUUCUUGGCUUUCUUUCCCAACCUUCUAGUUUUGUAGCUCUUGAGUCCCCACUGAUGGAUACCGUCCAAAAAGAUUGGAACACGAGUACUCAUCUAUUUAAAGUUUUACCUUCAGGCGCAGUGUACAGGCAGCUCUUGUUCCCUGACCUGUUGGGGCACAUCCCGCGAUUUACUUCCCUCAUAAAACUCUAGGAACGGAGUGGUGGGAGCCUUCAAAGUUGGGGUUCUACCUUUUUUUUUUUUUUUUUUUUUUAAUAUAUAUUGAAGUUAGCAUACUAUAUUAUUUCUACGCUGUAAAGAUGCCUAUAAUGAAUUUUUUUUGACGUGUAAUGUUUGGUACAUACGAAUUUGUUUAUAUUUUGAGAUGGAA